UACGGGGGGGGCAAGCGUUGUUCGGAAUUACUGGGCGUAAAGGGCUCGUAGGCGGCCAACUAAGUCAGACGUGAAAUCCCUCGGCUUAACCGGGGAACUGCGUCUGAUACUGGAUGGCUUGAGGUUGGGAGAGGGAUGCGGAAUUCCAGGUGUAGCGGUGAAAUGCGUAGAUAUCUGGAGGAACACCGGUGGCGAAGGCGGCAUCCUGAACCAAUUCUGACGCUGAGGCGCGAAAGCCAGGGGAGCAAACGGG
RNAcentral lists this ribosomal RNA (253 nucleotides) under uncultured bacterium. RNAcentral describes it as "partial 16S ribosomal RNA". It matches the Rfam family "Bacterial small subunit ribosomal RNA", at positions 524 to 776 of the family's 1533-position model. The record is from RNAcentral.